This 459-nucleotide ribosomal RNA is filed under the name uncultured bacterium. RNAcentral's name for it is "partial 16S ribosomal RNA". It matches the Rfam family "Bacterial small subunit ribosomal RNA", at positions 338 to 795 of the family's 1533-position model. The record is from RNAcentral.
CCUACGGGCGGCAGCAGUGAGGAAUAUUGGUCAAUGGCCGCAAGGCUGAACCAGCCAAGUCGCGUGAGGGAUGACGGUCCUAUGGAUUGUAAACUUCUUUUGUCAGGGAGCAAAGUGCGUCACGUGUGGCUUUUUGCGAGUACCUGAAGAAAAAGCAUCGGCUAACUCCGUGCCAGCAGCCGCGGUAAUACGGAGGAUGCGAGCGUUAUCCGGAUUUAUUGGGUUUAAAGGGUGCGUAGGCGGAAUGUUAAGUCAGCGGUAAAAUUUCGGGGCUCAACCCCGUCGUGACGUUGAAACUGGAGGUCUUGAGUGAGCGAGAGGUAUGCGGAAUGCGCGGUGUAGCGGUGAAAUGCAUAGAUAUCACGCAGAACUCCGAUUGCGAAGGCAGCAUACCGGCGCUCAACUGACGCUGAGGCACGAAAGCGUGGGUAUCGAACAGGAUCAGAUACCCGUGUAGUC